ACAGAAUAUCUUACUGUCAAACUGAGUAGUAGAACUUUAGAAGUGAUUCAGCUCCUUACCAUAGACCCAAAAUCAAAUGCUUUACUCAGUUCCAAAACCUCGGGGAAACUCUAUCGAAUGAAAACCUAGAACAUUAUAUCAUAUAAGAGGUUAUCUACUUCGAAGAUCUAGUGCUUCAGAGUGUAAAUGAAAUGGAGAAAGAAGCACAUCUGCGUAAGAAGGCUGCCAAUGUCAAGUGCCAGAGGUGUUCAACUUCAAUUGCCACCGAUGCCAACUCAAUCGGCACAUGAACAAAGCCUAUAGGAUCAU
Molecule: long non-coding RNA, 309 nt
Organism: Juglans microcarpa x Juglans regia
Lineage: Eukaryota; Viridiplantae; Streptophyta; Magnoliopsida; Fagales; Juglandaceae
Exons: 3
Source: RefSeq, a predicted model, not a curated record